GUUCAUAUAAUAUAAAACAUUAUAAUUGACUUCCAAUCAAUAAAUCUAAAACCCUAGUAUGAACA
Molecule: transfer RNA, 65 nt
Filed under: Curculionoidea sp. 20 KM-2017
Lineage: Eukaryota; Metazoa; Arthropoda; Insecta; Coleoptera
Description: tRNA-Gly
Source: RNAcentral